AUUGAACGCUGGCGGCAUGCCUUACACAUGCAAGUCGAACGGCAGCACGGGUGCUUGCCCCUGGUGGCGAGUGGCGAACGGGUGAGUAAUACAUCGGAACAUGUCCUGUAGUGGGGGAUAGCCCGGCGAAAGCCGGAUUAAUACCGCAUACGAUCUACGGAUGAAAGCGGGGGACCUUCGGGCCUCGCGCUAUAGGGUUGGCCGAUGGCUGAUUAGCUAGUUGGUGGGGUAAAGGCCUACCAAGGCGACGAUCAGUAGCUGGUCUGAGAGGACGACCAGCCACACUGGGACUGAGACACGGCCCAGACUCCUAUGGGAGGCAGCAGUGGGGAAUUUUGGACAAUGGGCGAAAGCCUGAUCCAGCAAUGCCGCGUGUGUGAAGAAGGCCUUCGGGUUGUAAAGCACUUUUGUCCGGAAAGAAAUCCUUGGCCCUAAUACGGUCGGGGGAUGACGGUACCGGAAGAAUAAGCACCGGCUAACUACGUG
RNAcentral lists this ribosomal RNA (486 nucleotides) under uncultured bacterium. RNAcentral describes it as "partial 16S ribosomal RNA". It matches the Rfam family "Bacterial small subunit ribosomal RNA", at positions 30 to 507 of the family's 1533-position model. The record is from RNAcentral.